AUAGAGACUCAGAGCUGCAUAUCAAUAAGCGGAGGAAAAGAAACUAACUAGGAUUCCCUCAGUAACGGCGAGUGAAGCGGGAAGAGCUCAAAUUUGAAAUCUUCAAGGUUUUACCUUGACGAAUUGUAGUUUAAAGAAGUGUUUUCUGUUGGAGUUUUGGUAAAAGUUCUUUGGAAAAGGACAUCAUAGAGGGUGAGAAUCCCGUAUUUGGUUAUUCAUUCUAGCUUUGUGAUACACUUUCAAAGAGUCGGAUUGUUUGGGAAUGCAGUCCAAAAUGGGUGGUAAAUUUCAUCUAAAGCUAAAUAUUGGCGAGAGACCGAUAGCGAACAAGUACCGUGAGGGAAAGAUGAAAAGAACUUUGAAAAGAGAGUUAAACAGUACGUGAAAUUGUCAAAAGGGAAGCGUUUGACACCAGUGUUGUUUUUCCGAAAAUCAAUUACGAAUGGCUUGAUUUUGUGUUGUAUUGACCUUAUCAGCUUUCUGCACUUUUUUCGAGUCUUCCUUAAUGCACUUUUCGGUUAACAAGUCAACAUCAAUUUCUUUUGUUGUAAAAGAGUAUUCGGAAGGUGGCUUUCUUUUCGGAGAAAGUGUUUAUAGCCCUUAUGCCUCUACAAUCGGAGAGAUUGAGGUCUGCAGCGUAGAUCCUUCGGGGUUAGAUACAUUUGUGCUAAGUUGUAGCUUUUCAUAGACAACUUGUUGACUAUGUUUAGUCAUGCGGCUUACUCGCUUAGUGCUAUUUUACCUACGCUUAGGAUGUUGACGAUCAGCUGAGCGCG
This 776-nucleotide ribosomal RNA is filed under the name uncultured Neocallimastigales. Its description in RNAcentral is "partial large subunit ribosomal RNA". It matches the Rfam family "Eukaryotic large subunit ribosomal RNA", at positions 23 to 646 of the family's 3401-position model. Lineage: Eukaryota; Fungi; Neocallimastigomycota; Neocallimastigomycetes; Neocallimastigales. The record is from RNAcentral.